UUUAUUGGAGAGUUUGAUCCUGGCUCAGGAUGAACGCUGGCGGCGUGCCUAAUACAUGCAAGUCGAGCGAAUGGAUUAAGAGCUUGCUCUUAUGAAGUUAGCGGCGGACGGGUGAGUAACACGUGGGUAACCUGCCCAUAAGACUGGGAUAACUCCGGGAAACCGGGGCUAAUACCGGAUAACAUUUUGAACUGCAUGGCUCGACACUGAAAGGCGGCUUCGGCUGUCACUUAUGGAUGGACCCGCGUCGCAUUA
RNAcentral lists this ribosomal RNA (255 nucleotides) under Bacillus paranthracis. RNAcentral's name for it is "partial 16S ribosomal RNA". It matches the Rfam family "Bacterial small subunit ribosomal RNA", at positions 1 to 243 of the family's 1533-position model. The record is from RNAcentral. Lineage: Bacteria; Bacillati; Bacillota; Bacilli; Caryophanales; Bacillaceae.